UGAGGAAUAUUGGUCAAUGGGCGUAAGCCUGAACCAGCCAAGUAGCGUGCGGGAUGACGGCCCUAUGGGUUGUAAACCGCUUUUGGACGGGGAUAAAGUGCGCCACGCGUGGUGCAUUGCAGGUACCGUCGGAAUAAGGACCGGCUAAUUCCGUGCCAGCAGCCGCGGUAAUACGGAAGGUCCGGGCGUUAUCCGGAUUUAUUGGGUUUAAAGGGAGCGUAGGCCGGUUUGUAAGCCAGCAGUGAAAUGUAGAUGCUCAACAUCUGAGUUGCUGUUGGAACUGCGGACCUUGAGUGCGCGCAAGGGCGGCGGAAUUUGUGGUGUAGCGGUGAAAUGCUUAGAUAUCACGAAGAACCCCGAUUGCGAAGGCAGCUGCCCGGAGCGCAACUGACGCUGAAGCUCGAAGGUGCGGGUAUCGAACA
RNAcentral lists this ribosomal RNA (422 nucleotides) under uncultured bacterium. RNAcentral's name for it is "bacterial SSU rRNA". It matches the Rfam family "Bacterial small subunit ribosomal RNA", at positions 355 to 774 of the family's 1533-position model. The record is from RNAcentral.